CCCGCUGAACUUAAGCAUAUCAGUAAGCGGAGGAAAAGAAACUAACGAGGAUUCCCCCAGUAACGGCGAGUGAAGCGGGAACAGCCCAUGACGAUCACUUUUCGGAGUGGAUGAGUCGUAUAGAGUCAUUUGGUUGGCAGUGAAUGGCAGCAAGUUCCAUGGAAAGGGACGGCAGAGAGGGUGAGACCCCCGUGGCAGCAGUUCGCGUAGCCGGCAGCAAAAAUGGCACAUUGAGUCGGAUUGUUUGGGAAUGCAAUCCCAAUUGGGUGGUACGCGCCAUCUAAGGCUAAACAAGGGCAAGAGACCGAUAGCAAACAAGUACCGUGAGGGAAAGAUGAAAAGGACUCUGAAGAGAGAGUCAAAAGUGCGUGAAAUUGCAGCAAGGGAAACGGACGAGAGGUUAGGACAAGGAUCGGUUAACUAUCGAGGUCAUUUUAGAUGAAGGUGGCAGAACCAUAUGGUAUCUGGACAUAUAGCAACUAGGAUUGACAUUGAGUAGAGACGGAUACUUGAACGUCUUGUCUGACCCGUCUUGAAACACGG
This 543-nucleotide ribosomal RNA is filed under the name uncultured fungus. RNAcentral's name for it is "eukaryotic LSU rRNA". It matches the Rfam family "Eukaryotic large subunit ribosomal RNA", at positions 24 to 664 of the family's 3401-position model. Lineage: Eukaryota; Fungi. The record is from RNAcentral.